AUUGAACGCUGGCGGCAGGCCUAACACAUGCAAGUCGAACGGUAACAGGAAGAAGCUUGCUUCUUUGCUGACGAGUGGCGGACGGGUGAGUAAUGUCUGGGAAACUGCCUGAUGGAGGGGGAUAACUACUGGAAACGGUAGCUAAUACCGCAUAACGUCGCAAGACCAAAGAGGGGGACCUUCGGGCCUCUUGCCAUCGGAUGUGCCCAGAUGGGAUUAGCUAGUAGGUGGGGUAACGGCUCACCUAGGCGACGAUCCCUAGCUGGUCUGAGAGGAUGACCAGCCACACUGGAACUGAGACACGGUCCAGACUCUUACGGGAGGCAGCAGUGGGGAAUAUUGCACAAUGGGCGCAAGCCUGAUGCAGCCAUGCCGCGUGUAUGAAGAAGGCCUUCGGGUUGUAAAGUACUUUCAGCGGGGAGGAAGGGAGUAAAGUUAAUACCUUUGCUCAUUGACGUUACCCGCAGAAGAAGCACCGGCUAACUCCGUG
This 490-nucleotide ribosomal RNA is filed under the name uncultured bacterium. RNAcentral's name for it is "partial 16S ribosomal RNA". It matches the Rfam family "Bacterial small subunit ribosomal RNA", at positions 30 to 507 of the family's 1533-position model. The record is from RNAcentral.